GUUGCUGCUGAGCGGUGGAAAAGAAUUCUACAUACAAUUAAAAUGACCACCUCCUGGAGUGAUCGGUUACAGAAUGCAGCAGAUAUGCCUACAAAUAUGGAUAAGCAUGCUGUAAAAAUGUAUCGGUGAGAAGCCUAUCAUUGGGUGUUUGUGAACCAAAGUUUAGCCAUGGAAAAAAUAAAGUGUUCUGGUUUUGAUAUGGAGUGUACCCUCGCUGUGUACAAGUCCCCGGAGUAUGAGUCUAUGGAGAGACUUGUUUCUGUUGGGUAUCCCCAGGAACUGCUCAGCUUCACUUAGGAUUCUACAUUCCCUACCAGAGGACUUGUCUUUGAUACACUAUAUGGAAAUCUUUUGAAAGUUGAUGCUUAUGGCAACCUCUUGGUCUGUGCACAUGGAUUUGACUUCAUAAGAGAUCCAGAAACUAGAGAACAAUAUCCAAACAAAUUUACCCAAUGAGAUGACACUGAAAGAUUUUACAUUCUAAACACAUUAUUCAACCUGCCAGAAACCUACUUGUUGGCCUAAUAGAUUUUUUUUUUACUAAUUGUCCUAGAUAUACCAGCCGUGAGACAAGAUUUAAAGACGGUACCUGUUUUCAUGUCCUACUGGAGUAUACUGCGGGAUAUAAGAGAUGCUGUUGACUGGGUCCAUUACAAGGGCUUCCUUAAGGAAAAGACAGUUGAAAAUCUUGAAAAGUAUGUAGUCAAAGAUGGAAAACUGCCUUUGCUUCUGAGCCAGAUGAAGGAAGCAGGCAAAGUAUUUCUUGCUACCAACAGCGACUAUAAGUAUACAGAUAAAAUUAUGACUUACCUGUUUGACUUCCCACAUGGCCCCAAGCCCAGGAGCACUCAUAGGCUGCGGCAGUCCUAUUUUGACCUGACCAUAGUGGAUGCACGGAAACCACUCUUCUUUGGAGAAGGCACAGUACUGUGGCAAGUGGACACAAAAACUGGCAAGCUGAAGAUUGGCACCUACACAGGCCCCCUGCAGUACGGCUACUCAGGCAGUCAUCUGAUACAAUCUGUGAUCUGUUGGGAGCUAAAGAGACAUUUUAUAUAUUGGAGAUCACAUUUUUGGAGAUAUUUUAAAAUCAAAGAAAUGGCAAGGGUGGUGAACUUUCCUGGUCAUUCCUGAACUCACACAGAAGCUGCAUGUCUGGACUGACAAGAGUUCACUUUUUGAAGAACUUCAGAGCUUGGACAUUUUCCUGGCUGAACUCUACAAGCACCUUGACAACAGUAGCAAUGAGCGCCCAGACAUAAAUUCCAUCCAGAGAUGGAUUAAGAAAGUCAUGCACGACAUGGAUAUGUGCUAUAGGAUAAUGGGGAGCCUCUUUCGCAGUGGCUGCCAGCAGACACUUUUUGCCAGUCAAAUGAUGUGCUAUGUUGAUUUCUAUGCUGCGUCCUUCAACAACCUGCUAUAUGAUCCAUUCAGCUACCUCUUCAGAGCUGCCCAUGGCCUGAUGCCGCAUGAGUCUACCAUGGAGCACACAUGUGGACAUUGAUGAGAUGGAGUUGCCCCUUUCUGCAUGCAACCGCACCUCCGUGGAUUUCAAGGACACCGACUACAAGUGGCAACAGCUGAGGAGGUCCAGCAGUGAGAUCAAACCCCCCAACCUCUUCCCACUGUCCCCCCCCAAAAAAAACUGCACACUGCCAUAAUAAAGAUGAUAAUUGAGGAGGAGGAAGAGGAGAAGAUUGAGGAAAACCUGAGCCUGAGCAUCCAAGCAGCAGGCGCCAGCAGAACUCCGGGAGCAAAGGCUGUCCUCAGGGUUCUCUCAGAGUGUGGGGAGCUCCUUCAGAAGUACAUCUGCAAAGGUUUUGAACUUUAA
This is an RNA transcript of Octodon degus (degu), 1831 nucleotides long. It is a transcript of the gene named cytosolic purine 5'-nucleotidase pseudogene, with no coding region annotated. Lineage: Eukaryota; Metazoa; Chordata; Mammalia; Rodentia; Octodontidae. The transcript has a single exon. The record is from RefSeq and is a predicted model, not a curated record.